GACGAACGCUGGCGGCGUGCUUAACACAUGCAAGUCGAGCGGUAAGGCCCUUUCGGGGGUACACGAGCGGCGAACGGGUGAGUAACACGUGGGUGACCUGCCCUCAGCUCUGGGAUAAGCCUGGGGAAACCGGGUCGUAAUACUGGAUAUGACUCCAUGACGCAUGUUGUGGGGUGGAAAGCCUUGUGCGGCUGAGGAUGGGCCCGCGGCCUAUCAGCUUGUUGGUGGGGUGANGGCCUACCAAGGCGACGACGGGUAGCCGGCCUGAGAGGGCGACCGGCCACACUGGGACUGAGACACGGG
This 303-nucleotide ribosomal RNA is filed under the name uncultured bacterium. RNAcentral's name for it is "bacterial SSU rRNA". It matches the Rfam family "Bacterial small subunit ribosomal RNA", at positions 28 to 330 of the family's 1533-position model. The record is from RNAcentral.